Molecule: ribosomal RNA, 253 nt
Filed under: uncultured bacterium
Lineage: Bacteria
Description: partial 16S ribosomal RNA
Rfam family: Bacterial small subunit ribosomal RNA
Source: RNAcentral
GACAGAGGGUGCAAACGUUGUUCGGAAUUACUGGGCGUAAAGCGCGUGUAGGCGGCCAACUAAGUCGGGCGUGAAAUCCCACGGCUUAACCGUGGAACUGCUUGGUAUACUGGGUGUCUUGAGCCAGCUAGGGGCUACCGGAACAAAUGGUGGAGCGGUGAAAUGCGUAGAUAUCAUCUGGAACGCCAAUGGUGAAGACAGCUUGCUGGGGGUAUUCUGACACUGAGACACGAAAGCCAGGGGAGCAAACGGG